CUAGUACUCCCUCCAUCCCGAAUUACUUGUCACAAAAAUGGAUAGAAAUGGAUGUAUCUAGAACUAAAAAUAUGUCUAGAUACAUCCAUUUUCGCAACAAGUAAUUCUGGACAGAAGGAAUAUGAA
Non-coding RNA from Triticum aestivum (bread wheat), 126 nucleotides. The record is from Rfam. NCBI's taxonomy places the organism in Eukaryota, Viridiplantae, Streptophyta, Magnoliopsida, Poales, Poaceae.